RNAcentral lists this ribosomal RNA (253 nucleotides) under uncultured bacterium. RNAcentral's name for it is "partial 16S ribosomal RNA". It matches the Rfam family "Bacterial small subunit ribosomal RNA", at positions 524 to 776 of the family's 1533-position model. The record is from RNAcentral.
UACGAGGGGGGCGAGCGUUGUUCGGAAUUAUUGGGCGUAAAGGGUGCGUAGGCGGCCUGACAAGUCUGAUGUGAAAUCCCUGGGCUCAACCCAGGGCCUGCAUCGGAAACUGUCGGGCUUGAGUAUGGGAGAGGUGAGUGGAAUUCCUGGUGUAGCGGUGAAAUGCGUAGAUAUCAGGAGGAACACCUGUGGCGAAAGCGGCUCACUGGACCAUAACUGACGCUGAUGCACGAAAGCUAGGGGAGCAAACAGG